AGGAAUUGGCGGGGGAGCACCACAAGGGGUGAAGCCUGCGGUUCAAUUGGAGUCAACGCCAGGAAAUCUUACCCGARGAGACAGCAGAAUGAAGGUCAAGCCUGAAGACUUUACCAGACAAGCUGAGAAGAGGUGCAUGGCCGUCGCCAGCUCGUGCCGUGAGWUGUCCUGUUAAGUCAGGUAACGAGCGAGAUCCCUGCCUCUAGUUGCCACCAUUACUCUCAGGAGUAGCGGGGCGAACUAGCGGGACCGCCGCAGUUAAUGCGGAGGAAGGAGGGGGCCACGGCAGGUCAGUAUGCCCUGAAACUUUGGGGCCACACGCGGGCUGCAAUGGUAGUAACAAUGGGUUCCGAACCCGAAAGGCGGAGGUAAUCCUCAAAUGCUACCACAGUUAUGAUUGAGGGCUGCAACUCGCCCUCAUGAAUAUGGAAUCCCUAGUAAUUGCGCGUCAUUAUCGCGCGGUGAAUACGUCCCUGCUCCUUGCACACACCGCCCGUC
Molecule: ribosomal RNA, 498 nt
Filed under: uncultured crenarchaeote
Lineage: Archaea; Thermoproteati; Thermoproteota
Description: bacterial SSU rRNA
Rfam family: Archaeal small subunit ribosomal RNA
Source: RNAcentral